Molecule: ribosomal RNA, 421 nt
Filed under: uncultured bacterium
Lineage: Bacteria
Description: partial 16S ribosomal RNA
Rfam family: Bacterial small subunit ribosomal RNA
Source: RNAcentral
AAUUUUGGACAAUGGGGGAAACCCUGAUCUAGCCAUCCCGCGUGUAUGAUGAAGGCCUUCGGGUUGUAACGUACUUUUGGCAGAGAAGAAAAGGUACCUCCUAAUACGAGGUACUGCUGACGGUAUCUGCAGAAUAAGCACCGGCUAACUACGUGCCAGCAGCCGCGGUAAUACGUAGGGUACAAGCGUUAAUUGGAAUUACUGGGCGUAAAGCGUUGGUAGGCGGUACGGAAAGAAAGAUGGGAAAUCCCAGGGCUCACCCUUGGAACUGCAUUUUUAACUGCCGAGCUAGAGUAUGUCAGAGGGGGGUAGAAUUCCACGUGUAGCAGUGAAAUGCGUAGAUAUGUGGAGGAAUACCGAUGGCGAAGGCAGCCCCCUGGGAUAAUACUGACGCUCAGACACGAAAGCGUGGGGAGCAAAC